ACUCCACAGUGUUUGAGCUUGGAGUUGAGGCCACUGGCUGAUCGAUGAACUCACAAGUGUAGGUAGUGUGCUACAUGAGGGGCAAGUCUUUCACUAACACUGCAAGGGUCUCUGGCUCAAUGAGUGGAGUUUGAUAGUAAUUCUUGCUACAAGU
RNAcentral lists this small nucleolar RNA (154 nucleotides) under Zalophus californianus (California sea lion). Lineage: Eukaryota; Metazoa; Chordata; Mammalia; Carnivora; Otariidae. The record is from RNAcentral.